This is an RNA transcript of Anthonomus grandis grandis, 1333 nucleotides long. RefSeq lists it as uncharacterized. The transcript is spliced from 3 exons. The record is from RefSeq and is a predicted model, not a curated record. Lineage: Eukaryota; Metazoa; Arthropoda; Insecta; Coleoptera; Curculionidae.
UAAUUAUUAUAGAUUUCCUAAUAAUUAAUGUUUUAAGAUGCACAUUUUUUACAUUUUGCAUAAUUUUAAUAUAUUAAACACAUUGCAGGCAGAGAGGAGUGGCAGCAUUCCAACAGGCCAGCAUUGCUAAACAGGGAGACCAUCUGGUACACAGAUGGCUCCAGAAUGAAUAACAGAGCUGGCUCAGGGCUUUGAGGUGGGAUCCCAUAUACUAGUAGGGCAUACUCGCUGGGGAAGCACGCCACUGUCUUCCAGGUCGAAAAUUCGCUGUAUUGAAAUGCGGACAGGAAAUCCUAAGCUGCGGACACCGCAAUACAGUCGUAUCAGUAUGAUCGGACAGCAGAGCUGCCAUUAAGUUCUGGCCGUAAAGAACAAAUCCAACUAGGAAAAUUGACCGGUUACAAUUUGGCCAGCUGCUAUCUAAGGCGUGGUCAAAAGCUGCAAAAGUUGAGCAUGCUGUAUCUGCUUUUAGGUCAACAGGUGUUUGUCCCUUUAAUCCUUCAGCUAUACCAGAUUACGCAUAUUUGGGAUCUGAAGAGGAAAUGAUAAAUUUGGAUAAUACGGCAACAGUUAAUAAUGAUGCAAAUAGAGUUAAUAAUGAUGAAAAUCAAAUGCCAAAACAAGAACAAGCAAUACCAUCCACGUCAACGUCAGGCUUGAAUAACAUACCAUCGGAACGUGAUGAAGAUCAAAAUCAGGACGCACCCGGAACACUGUUAAACAAAUUUUCGCCUGUUCCAAGCACAUCAGCUAAUAUUGAAAAUGCACGAAAAAGAGCAAAACAGGUAGCUUGCGUCCUAACAUCUCCGGAAAUUAUUCAAAAACAACGAUUAUAAACAAGCAAAAACAAAAAAAUAAUGAUGAUGGGUCAAUUGAUUCAUGUAUAAAUUAAACCUAACCACACAAAAACCAAGAGCGAAAAAACUUAAAUUAAAUAAAGACGACUCAUCCACAGAUACUGACACAUCAGACGACUAUGUUUCCGAAUCUGAGGAUUGCUCACAAGAAGAUGUGGCGAGAUAUACAAACUCACAACUAAAACUGAUGACUGGAUUCAAUGUAUUCACUCCACAAGGUGGUUCCAUGAAAGCUGCUCUAAAUAUUUGAAUCUCUGUGACCUAUGUGGAAAAAUUUUAUCAAAAAAGCGAUGUUAAAUUAAGUUUUGUCAAUGGGCCGUCUCACCCAGUAUGGGUGAGCCAACUAACCCAUAGCACCUGGGAGAGUUGGCCCAUUCAGCUUAUUUUUUUAAAACUGUUUGUAGAGCUAGAUUUUUUAGUUUUUCUUUAAAUGUUACUUUUGACGUUAACUGAAAUAAAUGCUUAUGUUAAAUCUC